RNAcentral lists this ribosomal RNA (457 nucleotides) under Blastocystis sp. RNAcentral's name for it is "SSU rRNA". It matches the Rfam family "Eukaryotic small subunit ribosomal RNA", at positions 492 to 957 of the family's 1831-position model. Lineage: Eukaryota; Bigyra; Opalinata; Blastocystidae. The record is from RNAcentral.
GGCGAUCCAGUUUGCAUUGGAUUGAGACAACGUACAAACCUUAUCGAUAAACAAUUGGAGGGCAAGUCUGGUGCCAGCAGCCGCGGUAAUUCCAGCUCCAAUAGCGUAUAUUAACGUUGUUGCAGUUAAAAAGCUCGUAGUUGAAAUGAAGGGUAGUUGUGUAAUGAAUACAUUCGUGUAUUUUGUUAUUCUACUACCCUCCUUCUAAAUUCGAUAUAUGAGUAUUAAUUUACUUGUAUAUGGUUUUAGACGUUUACUGUGAGAAAAUUAGAGUGUUCAAAGCAGGCAUUUGCUUGAAUAUAUUAGCAUGGAAUAAUCAUGUAUGAUUUUCAUGAUGUAUUUGAUUGGUUUGGUUCAUGAGAAUAAGAUUAAAAGGGACAGUUGGGGGUAUUCAUAUUCAAUAGUCAGAGGUGAAAUUCUCGGAUUUAUGGAAGAUGAACAGGGCCAGAAAGCAAAA